Non-coding RNA from Biomphalaria pfeifferi, 2948 nucleotides. The record is from the annotation of a GenBank genome assembly. NCBI's taxonomy places the organism in Eukaryota, Metazoa, Mollusca, Gastropoda, Planorbidae.
AAAUUACAGUAGUACCUUGGUUUGUGACCACAAUCUGUUCAAAAAUUAAGAAGUUGUGUAAUGUUAAAUCUAGUUGUGGCUAGUAGCAGUAUAUUACUUUUGUAAUAUUUGUUUUUAACUUGACUAGUAAGUUAAUAUUUUGAAACCAAUUUAAAAUUACAGUAGUACCUUGGUUUGCGACCACAAUCUGUUCUUGGAAGUUAGUCUUACACUAAUUUGUGCACAAACUAAAUAGAAUUUCCCCAUAAGAAAUAAAAGAAAUAGAAAUCAUCGCUUCCCAGACCUUGUUUUUCCCCUAUUAACAUUAAUAAAAUAUGUAUUACAUGAUUCCAAAUGCUUAACAUAAGCAUUUAAGCAUAAGAACUAUCAGUAAAGAGACAAUAUAAAAAAAAAAGAAUAAUUUUAACAUAAGAACACCAGCAUGUUGAUAAUGAUUUGAAGGACUGGUUAUAGUCACUACUUUAAGGGGGAAACCCCCUUCCAUAAUACCAAUUGGGAUCUGACUUUCUGGAGUGACUUCCCAUUUCUUUUGUUUUGUGGAUGUAAGAAAAAAGCUAUUGAUAGUCUUUUGCUACUGUCUUCUUUGGAUGACUGUUCCUUUAAUCGAUUCCUUAUUAUUUAAAUAUCAUCAAGAUUGUUAGCGUAAGACAUCUUGUAUUCCACUGCGAGGUUGAAGUCCAUUUUCAUGCUUUGACAUUACUUCUUUUUUCACUUAAAUCUUAGCUUUUUAUUUCCAGUACAGCUCUUUAACCUUUUUCAGUAUGAUUAUACUAUAAAAAAAAUUGUAAUGAAAGUUACAAAAACGAUGAAGCAUAAUAAAUAUAAGCAACUGAUUGAUAGGACAUCUGAUCAGCUAUUGAGGCAAGGUCAGCAGAUUCUUGUGCUAACACAGGUGACAUAGGAUACUUGGCGUUUGCAACCAAAUUUUUGUCAUAAACAAGUGCAAAAUGUUUACAUUUUUGUUCGGAAACAACUUCGUAUAUAAGCAAAAGCAUUUGUAAACCAAGGUUCUACUGUAUUUUAUAUUAUAAGGAGAAAUCUUGUAACUUGUUAAAAAAAAAAAAAAAACUUAUUAAAUAUAUAUAUAUUUAUAUAUUUUUAUUUUAAAGUUUUUUUUUAAUCAUUGAUUGCCCUUAAAAUAUUUUAAAUUAUAUUGUCAGAAAUAUAUACAUAUAUUUUUAAACAACAUUUUUACCUCCUUUAAAAAGACAUAAAAUAAAUACUAUUAUAAAUGUUUGUUUUAAAAUAUUGGUAAUAAUAAUUUGGAAUUGAGCAUUCAGGCUUAAGUUAUUCAUUAAUAAAUAUUUCAUCUGCUGAAAGUAAAGAUUGCUGUUGACAUAUUAUCAGAACCAUCAAAUUAUUUUGUAUAAUUUAAAAACUUUUGAGUUUAUUUGUAUUUUAAGGCUAUAUACCUUUAAAACAAAUUUCAAAUGCAGUUUUAUUUUUUUUUAAUUUUAUCAUUGAUAGAGUGAGAGGGCGUUGAAAUAAUUUUGUUUUGGUCUCAUUACAAAUAUUUUAUAGCAGUUCUGUUGUUUGUAUCCUGACUGAUAUGUGUAUUAUAAUAUUACAUUUAAAAUGUAAAUGCCUUCAUAGCUCAUAUAUUGAUGUGUACAAGAAAACAAUUAUAGUUAACAUUCCUUGUUAAUUUGAGGCAUGUUUGAAAUUGUAAUCUAGAUAUUGCUUGCAGCUUACAAUGUUUUUAGGAUUCAUCACUUGCAUGCUACUUGUGUUAUGUUUCCUCCCAAAUGAAAUCUAGUUCAGAAAUAAAAGGAAAUACAUUUUAGGAAGGUACCGGUAUUAACAUAUUUUUUUUGCAAAAGUGAUAGAAAUGGCUGUUCAUUCUUAAAUUUGUUGUUCUAUGCUGCAUGUUGUGAUCAAUUUUCUCAUUUCUUUUACCUUCACUCAGCUCAUGUUUUCCUUUUUUGUUUUUUUCCUUCAUAAUUUCACUGGCACUGCUUGAGUUGUUAUAUGUUCAAAUGUAGUUUUGUUUAAAUCUUUAAAAAAAAAUAAUGGUAUGUUUUCUUCCAAGAAGCGCUGUCAUUAGAAAGGGGAAUGAAUAGGAAUGCUUUUUGCACACUCUGAAAUAGACUAAAUGCUUGUGUUCAGCAUUUGAAUGUCUCCCUUUUCUUAUAUUUAUACCAUAAAGAAGGUGAAUGAAAUGUUAGUUAUUAUAGCUUUCAUAUUGCUUUUAUUUGUUCCUAUUAUUACCGUACUAUUCUAAUUGGGUUAUAUUUGGAUUGUUCUCAUGAGUACUGUUCAAAUCAUAGGACAGUAACAAGGAUGUUCUCUUGUACGUAUACAGACAAUAAAAUUCAUUGGAAAAAUACAACAGAUAGUAACAUCCUGCUCACUGUGUUCCAGCUUUUGUCUUUUUGUUGUAUUUAAUAUUGUAGUAUUUUUGUUAAAUUUUUAAAACCUUGUAUCUGGGUAAGUAAAUAUUUAUAAUGUUCAGUGUUGUUUUUUUAAUUUAUUAUUUUUGUUAUGUUAAAAUUUUAAAUUCUGUUUUUGGACAUAAAAAUGAGCAAAUAUAAGCUUACUCAAAAAUAAAAUUUGAAUUGUUACUUGUAGGCUCUAAAUUGAAUCAAUAGGAAUAUCAUUAAAACAACCUAAAAUAUAAGGGAGUGAAGAGAGUGACAUGCCAUUACAAAAAAACAAACCUGAUAGUGUUGGAAGUGCAUAGUCUAUAUUGAUUGUUAAAACUACUGUGGAGCAAAUAGCAUAAGAAUUGAUGUUGCCAUGGCAAUAGCAUUUAUCUUUAUGUGCUUGCACCAGUGUUAUUGAUUGUGUAGUUCUGGAUUCAUCCUCAACGUAAUUGCUAACACUUUUAUUCCCCUCUAAAACUAGUUACUUUGUCACUUGUAUUUUAUUUGCCUUCUCUAAGUCAGCCAGUAAUGUUACAUAGCUAAAUAGUCUCCAUAGUAGAAAUUUAACAUGGAUUCGAAACAAAG